RNAcentral lists this ribosomal RNA (253 nucleotides) under uncultured prokaryote. RNAcentral's name for it is "partial 16S ribosomal RNA". It matches the Rfam family "Bacterial small subunit ribosomal RNA", at positions 524 to 776 of the family's 1533-position model. The record is from RNAcentral.
GACGAAGGGGGCUAGCGUUGUUCGGAAUUACUGGGCGUAAAGGGCGCGUAGGCGGUCUUGUUAGUCAGGCGUGAAAGCCCUGGGCUUAACCUGGGAGGUGCGCUUGAUACUGCAAGGCUUGAGUGCAGGAGAGGAUGGUGGAAUUCCCAGUGUAGAGGUGAAAUUCGUAGAUAUUGGGAAGAACACCGGUGGCGAAGGCGGCCAUCUGGACUGCAACUGACGCUGAGGCGCGAAAGCGUGGGGAGCAAACAGG